CUGGGAUUCAGAUUUUUCAAAAUUAGAAUAUGAAGCAGCUAAUUUCAAAGUUCAUUCUGAGAGAAUUUUACCAGUUGGUUACAGAAAGUCCAUUUUGAGCAGUAUGAUAAAGGCAUACUUCUAAAUACAUUUUAGAUAAAUUGAGAGCAUUUUGACCCUUGACUGAUUAUUUUACUUGCAUGGUAGUUCCAUAAUAAAAGAACGCUCUGUGUGGAAGUGCAGAAAAUAGAGAUGAGGAUAUUUUAAGAAUCUUCUAGUCUCUUUUGUGCCCAUCUGUAUUAGUAAGGAGAAACAGAACCAAUAGGGUAGAUACAUAGACAGAUAUAGAAAGAUAUAUGAGGAGACAUAUUAAGGAAAUUGACUUACAUGAUUAUGGAGGCUGAGAAGUCCCAUGGCAGGACACUUGUAAGCUGGAGACCCUGGGAUGAUAGUAGCGUGGCUCAGUCCAAGUUCUAAAGAAUCAGAACCAGGGAAGCUGAUGGUGUAAUUCUCAAUGUGAGUCCGAAGGCCUGAGAACCUGGGUGGGGCUGCUUGUGUAAGUCUCAGAGUCUCAAGGCCAGGGAGAAUGGAAUUCUAAUGUCCAAAGUUCAGGAGAUGAAGAGUGUCCCAGCUCCAGGAGAGAACAAAAGGAAACCCUUUUCUCUCUAUUUUUGUUUUAUCCUAGUCCACAGCUGCUUGAAUGAUGCUCUCCCACAUUGAGGGUGGGUCUUCCCCACAUGAUCCACUGACUCACACACCAGUCUCCUCUGGAAACACCCUCACGACCCACUGAUCAGUGAUACUUUACCAGUUCUCUCUAUAUUCCUUAAUCCAGUCAUGUUAACUAUUAAAAUUAACCCUCACUCGCCCCUCCACCAUGUUUUUAUAAAGGAUUAGAGAGGAAUGUUGGACCACAUACAAAAUGAAGAUUGACUCCUUGGGACUCUAUUGGUUUAUCUCUAUAUUCAGGGAAGGCUGACUUUCUCCAAGCUGAAACUUCUGCAGAGACUUAAUGGAUUUUUGCUGAACCUGGACAAUGUGAACAGGAAAGAUUCAUCUGUGCUCACAGGUGCUGCGUCUACCAACUCCAUGUGAUUCUGGUGAAGUGGUGAAAUGUGUGGCUCCCUUAGUUAGUAAAAACCACGUAGCUCUUACUUCUUCCAGGGAUUGUUCUAAAUUCUUUUAAAAUAUUAAUUUAUUUAACACAACAAGCUUAUGUGGUGAUUUCCAUUGUUUACCUCAUUUAACAGUGUGAUGAACAUGUGACUGAGACUGGCCCAUUGGAUGACUCCACUUUCUCGAAUCAGUGAGUGGUUCAGGGUUGUCAUGUGGAUUCUUACACGGUGAACCCAGUUUAUGGCAAUUAUUGAUCUGAAUCCUGGGAGAGAGAAUUUUACUUUCCUUUUUUGUAAGAUUGCUUGUUAUGAAGAUGAUGUUUUUUAAAGUGGUUCACCUUGGAGUGUUAGUUGCUAGUUUGCUUCAUGAUAACUGCUAAAAAACUUGACGAAGCCAUGUUUGAGCCAGUCUGCCUGGAACUUUCCAAUACACGAGGCACUAAAUUACCUUUUAUACCUAAGCUGAUCUGAUGUGUUAUUGGAAGAGACCUGACAAACAGAUAUCAUAAAGCCACUGGUAUUGUCUGCAGCAAUGUUAAAUAGACUCAAUAUACAUCUAUACACCCAUAUAUGCCCUCAUAUAUGCACUAAAUACACCUUGACUUUAGGAGUUGGAGACUAAAUUGAUUUAAACUAAGAAGAAGUCAAAUAAAAUGCCUUAGAUAAUCUAUAAAUUACAAAUAAAAUAAAUAUAAAAUAUCUAAUAAGCUAACAGUUCGAGCAUUCUGCAAUUAAGGAAACUGCCUAGUUCACUUUGUUCUUUUGUUCUGUUUUGAAUUUCAUUAAUUUGCGUCUCCAUCUUUAUUAUUGUGUUUUUUCUCCUAGAUAUGUGUUUAGCUUGUUCUUAUUUUUCUGGUUUCUUUUGGGAAAAAGUUACAUUAUGGAUUUGAACAUUGUUUCUUUUCUAAUGUGUACAUUUAAUGAUAUAAAAUUCUAUCAAGGUGUUAUCCCUUUCCUACGAAUUUUGAUAUGUUGUCUUUUAAUUUUAAUUUAAGUAAAAUAUUUUUAGAUGUGUCAUUAGACUUCUUU
RNAcentral lists this long non-coding RNA (2123 nucleotides) under Homo sapiens (human). RNAcentral describes it as "HSALNT0197075". The record is from RNAcentral. Lineage: Eukaryota; Metazoa; Chordata; Mammalia; Primates; Hominidae.